Molecule: non-coding RNA, 701 nt
Organism: Lolium perenne
Lineage: Eukaryota; Viridiplantae; Streptophyta; Magnoliopsida; Poales; Poaceae
Source: RefSeq, a predicted model, not a curated record
UUAUACUUCCUCUAUAUAGCCAUUGGUGUUUUCUUUGCUGGAUGGAUAGGUAAGAUGAGGCUGUAGCAACUUAUAGAAAUCACUAAACAGUACCCUUGUGUUACAUAUUUGACCACCUCUGCUAUAAUUACAGAGGUUUCAUGCUGGAUUUUGACUGGGGAAAGGCAGAAGCAGUGAUAAGAUGAAAGUAUGUCCAAAUCUUGCUAAACCAAGACAUGAGUUUCUUUGAUACCUAUGGAAACAAUGGUGAUAUUGUCAGUCAAGUGUUGAGUGAUCUCUUACUCCUUCAGUCUGGUCAAAGUGAGAAGGUGUGUGCCACGGCCUACAAAGUGACUUAAAAGGUCACUCAUGGACACAAUUUGUCUUAGGAUAUCUCGAAAUCAUCUUGACAUUAGCUACUGGACCCUUCAUUGUUGCUGUAGGAGGAAUAUCAAAUAUAUUUCUCCAUAGGCUGGCACAAAAUAUUGAGGAUGCAUAUGUGGACUUAAUCAAGGCAAAACAUAUUUGGAUUUCCUCUUACAUCGGCUGCUGCAGCAACAUAUUUGUUGUGCUCCUACAAAUUCACGACAGCGCCAACUCCCAUCCUCCAUUGACACUCGUAGCGACAGGGUGGUUUACAUGAUUCUGGAGGUGGAACUCAUACAAGAAUAUUUUAUCAGAAACAUAAAUAAUAUCCAAGACGCUGAUAAUCAGUACCGAGC